Molecule: long non-coding RNA, 644 nt
Organism: Helianthus annuus (common sunflower)
Lineage: Eukaryota; Viridiplantae; Streptophyta; Magnoliopsida; Asterales; Asteraceae
Exons: 3
Source: RefSeq, a predicted model, not a curated record
AAUUGAAAACAUACGGCCGCACCCGCACAAAUACACAAACAAGCAGCGAACAGCAGCAGCUCUGCAUUAUCUCCGAUUCUCCGCCACCAGUCCGCCUCCGGCCUCCGCCCUCCUGCGCCUCCGGCUCCUGCUGCUCCGGCUCCGCCGCCUCCGCCUCCGUCACUUCGUGAUUACAGAUUUACAAGAGAGGAUGCGGUUUUGAUUCAAGUGUGAGUUAACUGGACAGCUAGAUGCCAAACAAUAAUUACAGAUGGAAAUUGAGGAAUUAAAAGGGAACUGCACGUGAUGAAACAUAUGGGUGAUGAAGAUACUAAGCUUCUAGGGUAAAAAUCUAGCCAUUCUAAACUACAAGUGCUUCCUGGAAGACUUUUGAGUUUGUCGCACCCACACAAGGAUAGAUUAAUAAGCUUAUGAAGAUUUCCAAUUGAUAAAGAUGACAACACAAAUGCUAGUCGGAAGAGUGAUGGUGAGUAUAACAAAUGAAUAUGUAAAAGCAUCUGCAAAGACGAGGUUAUGACAUCAAAGGUGAAUAAAUAGCGUGAUAGAAUCGUCAACUAAGCGAAUGAAUAUCCAAAGACGAGGUUGUCUUUUUUAUUAAGAAAACUGUUAUUUUUUGUCAAUAGUACUUUUUAAGUUUUUUUUUA